GCGAGGUAGUGGGAGAGAAUGGCAGUGGAUCUACGCACAAUGGAAGCAGGACGGGGAUGGGGAAGAUACAAAGCUCCCCAAAAUCCCAACUUUGGUACUAUGCAAAAAGAAGAUGUUCCCCAUCACAUCAAACUUGCGGUACAUGUAUGGAGUACUGAAUGUAGACAAAAUUAAAAACUAAUUGUACAGUUUUGUUGUACUUUGCGAACGAAUCUUUUAAGCCUAAUUGGUCAAUAUUUGGAUAA
Molecule: long non-coding RNA, 245 nt
Filed under: Setaria viridis
Lineage: Eukaryota; Viridiplantae; Streptophyta; Magnoliopsida; Poales; Poaceae
Description: long non-coding RNA (SVIR_LNC005544)
Source: RNAcentral